This 342-nucleotide ribosomal RNA is filed under the name uncultured Alphaproteobacteria bacterium. Its description in RNAcentral is "SSU rRNA". It matches the Rfam family "Bacterial small subunit ribosomal RNA", at positions 242 to 601 of the family's 1533-position model. The record is from RNAcentral. Lineage: Bacteria; Pseudomonadati; Pseudomonadota; Alphaproteobacteria.
CAGCUAGUUGGUGAGGUAAUGGCUCACCAAGGCUACGAUCCGUAGCUGGUCUGAGAGGAUGAUCAGCCACACUGGGACUGAGACACGGCCCAGACUCCUACGGGAGGCAGCAGUAGGGAAUAUUGGACAAUGGGCGAAAGCCUGAUCCAGCCAUGCCGCGUGAGUGAAGAAGGCCUUAGGGUUGUAAAGCUCUUUUGGCGGGGAAGAUAAUGACGGUACCCGCAGAAUAAGCUCCGGCUAACUUCAUGCCAGCAGCCGCGGUAAUACGAAGGGGGCUAGCGUUGUUCGGAAUCACUGGGCGUAAAGCGCACGCAGGCGGACUGAUAAGUCGGGGGUUAACUC